CAAUCGGUGGCGGGCUUGCCUUGCUCACCGUUUGACUUGGUGACUCUGAAUAACUUUGUGCUGAUCGCACGGUCUAGUACCGGCGACGCAUCUUUCAAAUGUCUGCCUUAUCAACUGUCGAUGGUAGUUUCUGCGACUACCAUGGUUGUUACGGGUAACGGGGAAUCAGGGUUCGAUUCCGGAGAGGGAGCCUGAGAAACGGCUACCACAUCCAAGGAAGGCAGCAGGCGCGCAAAUUACCCACUCCCGGCACGGGGAGGUAGUGACGAAAAAUAACGAUACGGGACUCAUCCGAGGCCCCGUAAUCGGAAUGAGUACACUUUAAAUCCUUUAACGAGGAUCUAUUAGAGGGCCAGUCUGGUGCCAGCAGCCGCGGUAAUUCCAGCUCUAAUAGCGUAUAUUAAAGUUGUUGCGGUUAAAAAGCUCGUAGUUGAAUCUGUGUCCCACACUGUCGGUUCACCGCUCGCGGUGUUCAACUGGCAUGUCUGUGGGACGUCCUACCGGUGGGCUUAGCCCGUCAAAAGGCGGCCCAACUCAAAAUCCUACCACGGUGCUCUUCACCGAGUGUCGAGGUGGGCCGGUACGUUUACUUUGAACAAAUUAGAGUGCUUAAAGCAGGCUCAUUCGCCUGAAUAUUGUGUGCAUGGAAUAAUGGAAUAGGACCUCGGUUCUAUUUUGUUGGUUUUCGGAAUUCCGAGGUAAUGAUUAAUAGGGACAACUGGGGGCAUUCGUAUUGCGACGUUAGAGGUGAAAUUCUUGGAUCGUCGCAAGACGGACAGAAGCGAAAGCAUUUGCCAAAUGUGUUUUCAUCAAUCAAGAACGAAAGUUAGAGGUUCGAAGGCGAUCAGAUACCGCCCUAGUUCUAACCAUAAACGAUGCCAGCUAGCGAUCCGCCGAAGUUCCUCCGAUGACUCGGCGGGCAGCUUCCGGGAAACCAAAGCUUUUGGGUUCCGGGGGAAGUAUGGUUGCAAAGCUGAAACUUAAAGGAA
This 989-nucleotide ribosomal RNA is filed under the name Ctenocephalides felis (cat flea). RNAcentral's name for it is "SSU rRNA". It matches the Rfam family "Eukaryotic small subunit ribosomal RNA", at positions 223 to 1152 of the family's 1831-position model. Lineage: Eukaryota; Metazoa; Arthropoda; Insecta; Siphonaptera; Pulicidae. The record is from RNAcentral. RNAcentral also lists the same sequence under 1 other name.